This 3736-nucleotide long non-coding RNA is filed under the name Calidris pugnax (ruff). RNAcentral describes it as "lncRNA (ENSCPUG00000013051.1)". The record is from RNAcentral. Lineage: Eukaryota; Metazoa; Chordata; Aves; Charadriiformes; Scolopacidae.
AUCCCAGUUGUCCCCAUUGAUGUCCCCAUGUCCCCAACCGCCCCCCUCUCUUUGUCCCCCUUCCCACUGACGUGUCCCCGUGUCCCCCCCACAGCGGGCGCGGGGGCAGAAGCCCGGGGGGAGCUGGUGACGCGGCUCCAACGCAAGGACGGGCUGGGCUGGACCUGGGUCUACGCCCGACUGCGCCCCGAGGGACCCGCCCUGCUGGCCCACAACUUUGUCAUCAGCGAGGCCGAGGCCUGGUGUCUGAGGCAGCAGUUGGCGGCCGAGGCCCCCCCGGGACCCCCCGAACCCUUCGGGCCCGGCCUUGACUUCCCCGGCGCCGGCAUCGGAGCUGGUGGGGACCUCGGUGGCCCCGGCAUCAGCCUCGGCGUUGGAGCUGGUCUCGGAGAUGACGUUGGGGUCAACGUUGGCGUCAGCCUUGGCCUUGGGGUCAACGUUGGGUGCGGCGUUGGAGCCGACGUUGGACACGGACUUGGGGUCAAUGUUGACCCUGGUCUUGGAGCUGGUGCUGGACCUGAUGUUGGAGCUGGUCUUGGAGCUGGUCUUGGAGCCAACAUGGGGCCUGGUCUUGACACCAACAUGGCACCUGGUCUCGGAGCUGCCGUCAGACACGGUCUUGGAGGCAACGUUGGGGCCAACGUUGACCCUGGUCUUGGAGUGAACGUUGGACGUGGGCUUGGAGAUGGUGUUGGACACGGUCUGGGUGCUGAUGGUGGCACCGGAGUGGGGAUGGGCGUAGGAGCCGGCAUCAGGGUGGACGUUGGCCUCGGGGUGGCAGCCGGCGCCGACGUUGGCCCAAACCUCGGGGCUGACAUUGGAGCUGCUCUGGGAGCCGGCGCCAACGGAGAAGACGUUGGAGCUGGUCUCCAAGCCAACGGCGAAGGAGACGGUCUCGGAGCCGGCGUCGCGCUCAGCGUCGGGGCCAACGUGGGGCCCGCUCUGGGUGGUGGCAUCAGAGCCAGCGUCGGGUUGGGCAUCGGGGCCAACGUGGGGCCCGCUCUUCCAUCCGACGUGGGUGCUGGCGUCGGACUCGCCGUCGGAGCCAACGUUGGUUCUUCUCUUGGAUCUGCUGGUGGACUUGGCCUUGGGGCCAACGUUGGCUCCGCCCUUUCAUCUGGUGUUGGAUCCGGCGUCGGACUCACCAUCGGAGCCAACGUUGGUUCUUCUCUUGGAUCUGCUGGUGGACUUGGCCUUGGGGCCAACGUUGGCUCCGCCCUUUCAUCCGGUGUUGGAUCCGGCGUCGGACUCACCGUCGGAGCCAACAUUGGUUCUUCUCUUGGAUCUAAUGUCGGACUCGCCGUUGGAGCCAACGUUGGUUCUUCUCUUGGAUCCGGUGUUGGCUCCAGUCUUGGAUCCGGCGUCGGACUCACCGUCGGAGCCAACGUUGGUUCUUCUCUUGGUUCAAGUGUUGGACUCACCGUCGGAGCUGGCGUCGGAGCCAACGUUGGCUCUUCUCUUGGAACUGGUGUUGGACUUGCCUCUGGAGCCAACGUUGCCUCCAGUCUUGGAUCCGGUGUUGGACUCACCAUCGGAGCCAAUGUCGGUUCUUCUCUUGGAUCAAGCGUUGGACUCUCCGUUGGAGCCAACGUUGGUUCUUCUCUUGGAUCCGGUGUUGGACUCGCCGUUGGAGCUGGUGUUGGAGCCAACGUUGGUUCUUCUCUUGGAUCUGGUGUUGGACUCUCUGUUGGAGCCAACGUUGGUUCUUCUCUUGCAUCAAACAUUGGACUCUCCGUUGGAGCCAACGUUGGUUCUUCUCUUGGAUCCGGUGUUGGACUCGCCGUUGGAGCUGGUGUUGGAGCCAACGUUGGUUCUUCUCUUGGAUCUGGUGUUGGACUUUCCGUUGGAGCCAACGUUGGUUCUUCUCUUGGAUCAAGUGUUGGACUCUCCGUUGGAGCCAACGUUGGUUCUUCUCUUGGAUCAAGUGUUGGACUCUCCGUUGGAGCCAACGUUGGUUCUUCUCUUGGAUCAAGCGUUGGACUCAACGUUGGAGCCAACGUUGGCUCUUCCCUCGCAUCCGACGUCGACGUUGAGGUUGGACUCGGCGUCGGAGCCGACGUUGGCUCUUCCCUCUCAUCCGACGUCGCAUCCGGCAUCGGCCUCGGCCUCGGGGCCAACGUUGGUCCCUCUCCCUCAUCCGACGUCGCCGGCGGCUCCGCUUUGGGAUUCGCCGUCGGAGCCGCUCUCGGAGCCAACGUCGGCCUUUCCCUCGCGACCACCAAUGAGGAAGCUCCUCUUGGACUGGGGGGCGGAGCCAAUAUCGGCGCCGAUGGUGUCCCAUCGGCCGUCGGAGCCACCCUUGGCCUUGGCCCCACCCUUGACCCUCCCCUUGGCCCCGCUCUUGGAACCACCGGUCUCGGGACCACCCUUGGCCCCUCCUUGGGUCCCCCCAUGGGGGCCGCCGUGGGGUUGGCCGUGGGCCCCCCCCGUUUAGGUUCGGCCUUGGGGGUCCCCGAAACCCCGGGGGGAGCCACCGAAACUUGGACCCCCCCUUACACCCCCCGCCAAGCUCNNNNNNNNNNAUUGUCCCCAAAUCGAGGGACCGAGGCACGAUGUGACUUGAUGUCCCCAAUGAACCCCCCCCUGAAGUCAACGGGGACAUCGGGGCUUGGUGGCCCCCGUGACCCCAACGAUGGUGACCCCAACGAUGACCCCAACGAUGACCCCAACGAUGACACAACCCCCCCACCCCCCAAAAAAAUUGUCCCCAAAUCGAGGGACCGAGGCACGAUGUGACUUGAUGUCCCCAAUGAACCCCCCCCUGAAGUCAACGGGGACAUCGGGGCUUGGUGGCCCCCGUGACCCCAACGAUGGUGACCCCAACGAUGACCCCAACGAUGACCCCAACGAUGACACAACCCCCCCACCCCCCAAAAAAAUUGUCCCCAAAUCGAGGGACCGAGGCACGAUGUGACUUGAUGUCCCCAAUGAACCCCCCCCUGAAGUCAACGGGGACAUCGGGGCUUGGUGGCCCCCGUGACCCCAACGAUGGUGACCCCAACGAUGACCCCAACGAUGACCCCAACGAUGACACAACCCCCCCACCCCCCAAAAAAAUUGUCCCCAAAUCGAGGGACCGAGGCACGAUGUGACUUGAUGUCCCCAAUGAACCCCCCCCUGAAGUCAACGGGGACAUCGGGGCUUGGUGGCCCCCGUGACCCCAACGAUGGUGACCCCAACGAUGACCCCAACGAUGACCCCAACGAUGACACAACCCCCCCACCCCCCAAAAAAAUUGUCCCCAAAUCGAGGGACCGAGGCACGAUGUGACUUGAUGUCCCCAAUGAACCCCCCCCUGAAGUCAACGGGGACAUCGGGGCUUGGUGGCCCCCGUGACCCCAACGAUGGUGACCCCAACGAUGACCCCAACGAUGACCCCAACGAUGACACAACCCCCCCACCCCCCAAAAAAAUUGUCCCCAAAUCGAGGGACCGAGGCACGAUGUGACUUGAUGUCCCCAAUGAACCCCCCCCUGAAGUCAACGGGGACAUCGGGGCUUGGUGGCCCCCGUGACCCCAACGAUGGUGACCCCAACGAUGACCCCAACGAUGACCCCAACGAUGACACAACCCCCCCACCCCCCAAAAAAAUUGUCCCCAAAUCGAGGGACCGAGGCACGAUGUGACUUGAUGUCCCCAAUGAACCCCCCCCUGAAGUCAACGGGGACAUCGGGGCUUGGUGGCCCCCGUGACCCCAACGAUGGUGACCCCAACGAUGACCCCAACGAUGACCCCA